This 468-nucleotide ribosomal RNA is filed under the name uncultured bacterium. Its description in RNAcentral is "partial 16S ribosomal RNA". It matches the Rfam family "Bacterial small subunit ribosomal RNA", at positions 28 to 507 of the family's 1533-position model. The record is from RNAcentral.
GACGAACGCUGGCGGCGUGCUUAACACAUGCAAGUCGAACGGAAAGGCCCUGCUUUUGUGGGGUGCUCGAGUGGCGAACGGGUGAGUAACACGUGAGUAACCUGCCCUUGACUUUGGGAUAACUUCAGGAAACUGGGGCUAAUACCGGAUAGGAGCUCCUGCUGCAUGGUGGGGGUUGGAAAGUUUCGGCGGUUGGGGAUGGACUCGCGGCUUAUCAGCUUGUUGGUGGGGUAGUGGCUUACCAAGGCUUUGACGGGUAGCCGGCCUGGGAGGGUGACCGGCCACAUUGGGACUGGGGUACGGCCCAGACUCCUACGGGAGGCAGCAGUGGGGAUUAUUGCGCGCUGGGCGGAAGGCUGAUGCAGCAUCGCCGCGUGCGGGAUGACGGCCUUCGGGUUGUAACCCGCUUUCGCCUGUGACGAAGCGUGAGUGACGGUAAUGGGUAAAGAAGCACCGGCUAACUACGUG